This 425-nucleotide ribosomal RNA is filed under the name uncultured bacterium. Its description in RNAcentral is "partial 16S ribosomal RNA". It matches the Rfam family "Bacterial small subunit ribosomal RNA", at positions 354 to 796 of the family's 1533-position model. The record is from RNAcentral.
GUGGGGAAUAUUGGACAAUGGGCGAAAGCCUGAUCCAGCCAUGCCGCGUGAGUGAUGAAGGCCCUAGGGUUGUAAAGCUCUUUCAGUGGGGAAGAUAAUGACGGUACCCACAGAAGAAGCCCCGGCUAACUUCGUGCCAGCAGCCGCGGUAAUACGAAGGGGGCUAGCGUUGUUCGGAUUUACUGGGCGUAAAGCGCACGUAGGCGGAUUGUUAAGUCGAGGGUGAAAUCCCAGGGCUCAACCCUGGAACUGCCUUCGAUACUGGCAAUCUUGAGUCCGGAAGAGGUGAGUGGAACUCCUAGUGUAGAGGUGGAAUUCGUAGAUAUUAGGAAGAACACCAGUGGCGAAGGCGGCUCACUGGUCCGGUACUGACGCUGAGGUGCGAAAGCGUGGGGAGCAAACAGGAUUAGAUACCCUUGUAGUCC